Molecule: ribosomal RNA, 421 nt
Filed under: uncultured bacterium
Lineage: Bacteria
Description: partial 16S ribosomal RNA
Rfam family: Bacterial small subunit ribosomal RNA
Source: RNAcentral
AUCAUGGGUCAUGGUGGGCAACCCAGUCCUAGCAAGGCAGCGUGUGGGAAGAAGGUCAUCGAUUUGUAAAGAAUGUUUAGUAGGGAGGAAGGGCUUUAGGCUAAUACCCACAAGUUUUGUCAUUCGCAACUGUUGAAGUACCGGCAAACUCUGUGUCAGCCGCCGCGGUAAUACGUAGGGUGCAAGCGUUAAUCGAAAUUACUGGGCGUAAAGGGCGCGUAGGAGUUUCAGUAAGAUGAGUGUGAAAUCCCCGGGCUUAACCUGGGAACUGCUUUCAUAACUGCUGAGCUAGAGUACGGUAGAGGGUAGUGGAAUUUCCUGUGUAGCGGUGAAAUGCGUAGCUAUAGGAAGGAACACCAGUGGCGAAGGCGACUACCUGGACUGAUACUGACACUGAGGUGCGAAAGCGUGGGGAGCAAAC